Cyanistes caeruleus (blue tit) is the source of this 1235-nucleotide non-coding RNA. The record is from RefSeq and is a predicted model, not a curated record. NCBI's taxonomy places the organism in Eukaryota, Metazoa, Chordata, Aves, Passeriformes, Paridae.
UUUGAGUGAGCUUUGGGGAUGGGGAGGUUCUGGAAAUGACCCCAUAGGCCCCAGUGAGGGAAAGCCUCACUUUGGUUCGCAAUGCUGAGGCGGGCAGGGCAGAGCAGUCCCAGGGUGUGUUGUCACUUGUCUCGCGUGCCUUCUGUGUCUUCUGUGCCUUCUGUGCAUCUCGUGUAAUGUGUCUCUUGCCUUAGCCCUCCCAGGGGCUUAUGAGAAACCCUGGGGUCCUUCCGUUCAUCUCCCAUCUUUGCGUUCCUCGGCCCGACGCCGGCGAAGCUUCGAUUCGGGAGGUCGGACACAUGUCAGAAUCGCAUCUGUCUUCAGAAGCACGUGAUCUUUUUAGGUCUCGUUCUCAGCUGUGUCAACAGCUAUAUGCAGCAAUGUCUCUUUACAGUGGAUAAGGACUUGUGCCGAUUCAAAGGCAGGCAGAGGCUUCCAGCCACAGGAUUCUCGGGCAUCCGUCUCUGCGGUUCUUGGAAAAUAGUUGUUCCGUUAGCGUCUUUUUCCUCCAGGGUCAUCCGAGCCCGGCAGGCUCGCCUCGGGUCCCUCCUCGGUCAUCUCGUUCAGCAUUCUCUCGGUCCUCGUGAGGACUUUCUUGUCUCAGGGAGUUUUCACUCAGGGAGACACUCCCUCGUCUCACGUGUCACGGGUGUCUGGGGGUAUUCGGUCCGGAGCUGCUCUGCCCUGCCGCCCAGCCCGGUUGUAGGCGUUCAAGGACAAGUCCCGGGCACUUGUAAUCGGAGACUUGUAGUACGGGCUGUAGUUGGAGUCUAGGUGGUAUUCUUAUGUUGGCAGAAGGUGUUUGGAGCUGUGAAGUUACCCUGCAGCACUUUGACUUUUUUCCUAACUUUCUUUCAGAUGCAGACGGUUUGACGUCGUGGCAGAGCAGCUAUCCCAGAUGAUGGGGGUCCCCCUGAGAAGGAAGUAAAGCCGGAUAGCAGCAGAGAAGGUGAAGCAUUGCGAAGGUGGUCUACUUGCAAGGUAUCCCAGCCAAGGAUACUGGAGGACAGGUGGGUGCAAGCUCUGUGUGUUUUGGUGUUUAAGUCCCUGGUUUGCUGCUAGUCUUUAGUUCUCUAAGAUAGAAUGAAAGAACCACAUCACAGAUCCCACCUUGCGGAUCCUGACACAUACUGGAGGACAGGUGGGUGCAAGCUCUCUGUGUGUCUUGGUGUUUAAGUCCCUGGUUUGCUGCUAGUCUUUAGUUCUCUAAGAUAGAAUGAAAGAACCACAUCACA